Molecule: small RNA, 88 nt
Organism: Neisseria meningitidis MC58
Lineage: Bacteria; Pseudomonadati; Pseudomonadota; Betaproteobacteria; Neisseriales; Neisseriaceae
Rfam family: Neisseria metabolic switch regulator b (RcoF1/NgncR163)
About the family: Sibling sRNA described and independently named in three publications. NgncR163 is N. gonorrhoeae while the others are N. meningitidis RNAs.
Source: Rfam
CCGUCGAGUUGCUUGAUGCAGCUUGAUUUUUCUCCUCUAUUUCUCCUUUGUAGACUUGGCACACAUUCAACUGGAUGUGUGCAUUUUU